Molecule: ribosomal RNA, 477 nt
Filed under: uncultured organism
Description: partial 16S ribosomal RNA
Rfam family: Bacterial small subunit ribosomal RNA
Source: RNAcentral
ACGUACACUCCUGCGGGAGGCAGCAGUGGGGAAUUUUGGACAAUGGGCGAAAGCCUGAUCCAGCCAUGCCGCGUGCAGGAUGAAGGCCUUCGGGUUGUAAACUGCUUUUGUACGGAACGAAACGGCCUUUUCUAAUAAAGAGGGCUAAUGACGGUACCGUAAGAAUAAGCACCGGCUAACUACGUGCCAGCAGCCGCGGUAAUACGUAGGGUGCAAGCGUUAAUCGGAAUUACUGGGCGUAAAGCGUGCGCAGGCGGUUAUGUAAGACAGUUGUGAAAUCCCCGGGCUCAACCUGGGAACUGCAUCUGUGACUGCAUAGCGAGAGUACGGUAGAGGGGGAUGGAGUUCCGCGUGUAGCAGUGAAAUGCGUAGAUAUGCGGAGGAACACCGAUGGCGAAGGCAAUCCCCUGGACCUGUACUGACGCUCAUGCACGAAAGCGUGGGGAGCAAACAGGAUUAGAAACCCCGGUAGUCCCA